AUAUAAAGAUUGAUAAAUAUUUUUUUAUUGUUACCUCGAAAAUAUUGUAAUAUUUCAAAGUAUGAUUCUUAGCAUCGUUAUUUAUAGAUGGUUAAAUAGUUAGGGUAUUGUAGAGAGUAUAUUCUUUGAAACCUAUAACUAAUAGACAUUAAAUAGUACGAUAUUAUGUAUUAGUUGUUAUGGAAAAUAUAGUAGAUUUGUUGAGUAGAUAACGACAACAACAAUUAGUGAAAUCUAACAAAUAUGUUUGAUAUAUAUCGUUAGAAUAUUAGAAGUUGCAAGUCCAAGCAAAAAAUCUAGAAAAAUCGUACCUAUUGAGAUAUUUUGCUUCUAUAUACUUGCUUUUCAAGUUAAAAAAUAUUACAACUAAAUUGAUUUUAUGAUUAUACUUGCUUUUUGAGAAAAAUAUAUUUUUGACUUUAGUCACAAAUUUUGUCGCUGUUUCAAAACUACCGAUUGGUAUAGGUUUAUUUAGAAGGAAAAAAAAUGAAUUUUAUCACAAAACUUUUAGAUGGUUUUAAAUCUAGUAUGGGUAAAGAUUAAUAUGUGUAUAAUGUUGGUUUAACUGGUUAACCGGCAGUAUAGUCACAUCAAAACCAAAAGAAAAAAAAAAGAUAAUUUGAAUCAAACUUACGAUUGAUAUGGAUUUAUAAUGAAGAAAAUAUUAAUUUUGAAUUAGAUCACACAACUUGUAAGUGGUUUGAAAAUUAGAAUGGGUAAAGAUUAAGAUAUGUUUAAUGUUGGUAUAACUGGUUAACACACCAAAACAAAAAUAUGAAAAUAAUUCUAAUCAAACCAUAUUGAUGAUUUACAACAACAAAUCCAAAACGGAAUGAUUGAAUUCGUUAAAUUUGUGAUUGAAUAAGACUCGUUUUGCUAUCAUUUGAAAGACAACUGGCUUCUAUUAUUCUAUGGUCGCGUGAGAAGGUCACGCAAUAUUUUCGUUUGCGCUUUUGCUUUGUUCCUUGCGCUCAUUGAUGGUUGAAUAAGGAGAAUGAGAUCUCACCAAGGUGGUCGUAAACUGACGGUUCUUCAACUUCUAUGCGCCGUUGCAGUUUUCUCCAUCCUCCUCUUCGUCACCAUCCAAUCUUCCUUAUUCGCAACAGAUAAUAGCAAUCGCAAGCUAUUCUUUCAUCCGGAAGAUAUUAAGAUCUUGUCAGUGUUUCAAUCCAGCGUUCAACAGUGUGUGGGGGACAGAGGUCUUGGACUAUCUGCUCAUAGUAUCGAUCACUGCAACUUGAUCCUCAAGUUCCCUCAAGGCACUAACAACACUUGGGUAUGUUUAACUGCUUUUUUUUUUUUGAAAUUUCAUUGGUUUUGAAGAGAUCAAGCUUUCACACUUGUUUAGUAUCUUUCAAUGACAGUA
Molecule: long non-coding RNA, 1366 nt
Organism: Brassica napus (rape)
Lineage: Eukaryota; Viridiplantae; Streptophyta; Magnoliopsida; Brassicales; Brassicaceae
Exons: 3
Source: RefSeq, a predicted model, not a curated record